RNAcentral lists this ribosomal RNA (253 nucleotides) under uncultured bacterium. RNAcentral describes it as "partial 16S ribosomal RNA". It matches the Rfam family "Bacterial small subunit ribosomal RNA", at positions 524 to 776 of the family's 1533-position model. The record is from RNAcentral.
UACGGAGGGUGCGAGCGUUGUCCGGAUUUAUUGGGUUUAAAGGGUGCGUAGGCGGGCUAAUAAGUCAGUGGUGAAAGGGUGUCGCUUAACGAUAGCAUUGCCAUUGAUACUGUUAGUCUUGAGUACUGUAGAGGUGGGCGGAAUUCCGCAUGUAGCGGUGAAAUGCAUAGAUAUGCGGAGGAACGCCAAAAGAGAAGUCAGCUCACUGGGCAGUAACUGACGCUGAGGCACGAAAGCGUGGGGAUCGAACAGG